RNAcentral lists this ribosomal RNA (386 nucleotides) under uncultured bacterium. RNAcentral describes it as "bacterial SSU rRNA". It matches the Rfam family "Bacterial small subunit ribosomal RNA", at positions 29 to 412 of the family's 1533-position model. The record is from RNAcentral.
AGUGAACGCUGGCGGCAGGCCUAAUACAUGCAAGUCGAACGGCAGCACAGCAGAGCUUGCUCUGUGGGUGGCGAGUGGCGGACGGGUGAGGAAUACAUGGGAAUCUGCCCAGUCGUGGGGGAUAACGUAUGGAAACGUACGCUAAUACCGCAUGCGCCCUACGGGGGAAAUCGGGGACCGCAAGGCCUGACGCGAUUGGAUGAGCCCAUGUUCGAUUAGCUAGUUGGCGGGUAAAGGCCCACCAAGGCGACGAUCGAUAGCUGGUCUGAGAGGAUGAUCAGCCACACUGGAACUGAGACACGGUCCAGACUCCUACGGGAGGCAGCAGUAGGGAAUAUUGGACAAUGGGGGCAACCCUGAUCCAGCCAUGCCGCGUGAGUGAAGAA